CACAAGCAGUGGAGUAUGUGGUUUAAUUCGACGCAACGCGAAGAACCUUACCAAGUCUUGACAUCCCUUGACGAACAUAGAAAUAUGUUUUCUCUUCGGAGCAAGGAGACAGGUGGUGCAUGGUUGUCGUCAGCUCGUGUCGUGAGAUGUUGGGUUAAGUCCCGCAACGAGCGCAACCCUUACUGUCAGUACUACGCAAGAG
RNAcentral lists this ribosomal RNA (202 nucleotides) under uncultured bacterium. RNAcentral's name for it is "partial 16S ribosomal RNA". It matches the Rfam family "Bacterial small subunit ribosomal RNA", at positions 924 to 1131 of the family's 1533-position model. The record is from RNAcentral.